Molecule: non-coding RNA, 116 nt
Organism: Electrophorus electricus (electric eel)
Lineage: Eukaryota; Metazoa; Chordata; Actinopteri; Gymnotiformes; Gymnotidae
Source: RefSeq, a predicted model, not a curated record
UCAUUACUGGGACAGUAUGGAGCUCAGUCCACUCCCUGUGGUGCUCUUGCUGAUUUCAUUUGUACAAGCUGGAAUUGCUCAAGGUCAUGUUAAAGCUGUUGUGAGUGUAAGUCCUG